Mirounga angustirostris (Northern elephant seal) is the source of this 562-nucleotide long non-coding RNA. RefSeq lists it as uncharacterized. Lineage: Eukaryota; Metazoa; Chordata; Mammalia; Carnivora; Phocidae. The transcript is spliced from 4 exons. The record is from RefSeq and is a predicted model, not a curated record.
UUCAGUUGAAUAAGGCUAUGGGAUGGGGAAGGGGCUGAAUAAGGUCCUUUUUCCUUAAGGAGGGAGAGAAGAAGGAUUUGGGUGCUGUUUGUUCCUCAUCCUGCUGCUUUUAGAUGACCUGAGAAAGCAAAUCUCUACUCAUCCCCUCAAGCCGGGAAGUGCCAGGUGCAUGUCUUCUUGGGGACAUCUACCCCAGACUCUUCCAUGCCUUCCGGUUUCUCUCCAGGCCUUCUGCACACCUGCGGAUGUCAUCCGACGGCCUUCCUUCAUGCAAUCUCAGGAAUUCACUUGUGUCCCAGGCCCUGUGGUGCUGUCUUCUAACUCAUUCUGAGAAGUUUCUGGCUGGAGGUCCGAUGCCAUUCUCAUUCCUGAUCCUUUAUAUUUAUCAAGAUCCCCCUACAAGCCACACACCGGAGAUACAACGAUGGAGAAGACAAAGCCGCUAUCUUCAGGGAUUUGAUAGGGCCACGGGAACAUAGGCAGGUGGACAGAAGAUAAAGGCCAUUUCUAGAAUGGAGCAUACCACAGAUACUAAAACAGAAGUUGGAAAGGAUAUCUUUGC